Molecule: long non-coding RNA, 2246 nt
Filed under: Gossypium barbadense (sea-island cotton)
Lineage: Eukaryota; Viridiplantae; Streptophyta; Magnoliopsida; Malvales; Malvaceae
Description: long non-coding RNA (GBAR_LNC016527)
Source: RNAcentral
UUAGCCCUAAUUUCUUUAAGAGUUGCGCCUGAACCCUUAUUUUUUUAUCCGUUUUUUCCAUAAUUUUCUCAACAAUCCCACCUUUAACGACAGUUACUUCUCCUACUCCAUUAAGGGCUGCAAAUAUUGAGCCUGAUCUUUCCUUUUCUAUACCCUUGUCCUUGUAACCUCGUGAAUCGCUCCUACCCCGUCAUGAUUUUUGCUCCACUAACAUCCACGGCCUAUAUGCCGUUUCAAACACUUUUCUAGUACCGAUUGCAGUUUUUCUUGGUUUACUAUUCACCAUCUCUUUUGCAUUAUCAUUAGCAUGGUCCAUGAUUGAUGAAGGGCACAUCUAUUUAACGUGCCUGUACGUACCACAUGAGAAGCAUAUUGUCGGUAAAGCCCUGUAUUCCACCCAUUGGGUUUCGCUAUUCACCAGCACCUGGGAUACGAGAGGCCCAUCGAGAUUAACGAAGACUUCCAUUCUGGCAAAACGUCCCAUGGUCCUCUGCUGUCAGUAUUAAAAUCGAGUUUAGCAAUCUUAACUACCAUGCCUUCGAUCGCCUCAAGCAUCCUUCUUUUGUACAUAAACCUCGAUAGUCUCGAUAACCUAAUCCAUGCCAUUACCACACUUGGAUAUGGUUGAAGCGGAGAAAAAUCUUUGGUCCACAGCUGAAUAGUCAGGUACUGCCUGUAAAUACUCCAUGGCCCUUGAGUCAAAACUUUCUCAUAAUCUUUAAUAUUCUGGAAUUUUGCCAAAUAAUAUCCAUUUUCCAUGUCCAUUAGUUGAAAGGGUUUUAUCGGCUUACAUAUGUUAUUGAUCCUAUUGUGAAGAGCACCAUAGCUAAUGCUCCGACCCAGUAGCUUCAGUACUACCAUUGUCACCAUUUCCUUAUAGAGAAUCUGUGUCACAUCCCGAAAAUUGGGUUAAAUGAAAUUGGGUUAAUGAUACCAAGAGUGGUCACAUCUUGAUUUUGAGUUAUUAUUGUAAAAAUUUUGAAAUGUGAAGUGAUCUGGUUCAAUUGUUAAGUGUAGGGUGUAUGGGUAAAAGGUCUUGUGUUCAAAUCACUUUCCUUGAACUUUUAGUAAUUUUGUUGCAACCCUUAUCCUUAGCCAUCUGACAUAAAUAAUAUUUUCACUCAAUUGAUAAUAAGAAUGAACCUACUGUUUUAGUGGUAAGAAAUAAACUUACCUUUUGGCCUUGUGUUUGAAUCUUUAUAUGUACAAAGUGAAAAUUAUGUUUUUGUUCUAAAUUUUGAAGGAAAAUUUGUUUGGAUAAGAAUUAGAUAGUGGAGUUGUGGGUAGUUUACAUUUGUUUUAAUUUUUCAUUUUAUUUUGUUCUCUUAAAAAAUAAUAUUAAUAUAAUAAAAAUUUAUUUGUUUUCCCUAAAUUUUCUCGAAUUCUGUGCCCACGUUCCCACUUUCUUUUUCUUUAUUCUUUUUGUUUUUGUUUUUCUUUCUUUCUUUUUCUUUAUUCCUUUUGUUUUUAAUUUUUCUUUCUUUCUACCAUUUAUAUUUGUUUUUGGUUUUCAAAAUGUCUUUUGCAAAUUUAUAUUUCUUCCCGAAGAUGGCUAUCGUGCAAAGCCUUUCUUUGUAUUUCCUUCUCUUUUGAUCCGAAUGCAAUGCUUUUGAGGUGUAGGGUAAGGUUCUAGUUUCUUUUAAAUAAUGUUUAUUUCGUGUUUAUUGAGUUAUUUAUGGAGAAGGUGAUGGUAAUGUAGGUCUAUGUGAUUUGGUGCAAUUAGGAGAAGAUCGUGAGACAAUCGAUCCUCUGGCAAAAGAAAUUCCCUUUUUAAGUUGCUAAUUCAUACGAGGGUAAGUAGUUUUAUUGUUGUAGGGGUUGUUUUGUUCUGUAAAUAAGGUUCCUUUGAUGAUGGAUGUACCGAUUUGGUCAAUCAAGUUAGAAGGAAUAGUGUUAAUUAAUUUGUGUGAGAUGUCGGUUUAGGUUACGGGGUUGUUCGUUCGUGAAUCUUCAUCAAAACCAACUUAGGUGUGUGUUUCUAACCCAAAAACAUUGAUUCAAACUCAAAAAAAUCUGAAAAAAAAAAUAAAGUUGUUUCCGAACUGCACACUACACCAAAACAGGUUUUUAGCGGCGUUUUUUAUGUCUUUAAAGCACCACUAAAAGUAUUUGCGCUGUUUUUAAAAGCGCCGCAAAAAAUGCCACUGUUGUUUGCGGCGUUUUUAGAAAUAAACGCCGCUAUAGAUCAUGACCUUUAGCGGCGAUUUCACCACAAACGCCGCUAUAGGUUAGGACCUUUAGCGACA